UACGUAGGGUGCAAGCGUUAAUCGGAAUUACUGGGCGUAAAGCGUACGCAGGCGGCUAUGUAAGACAGGUGUGAAAUCCCCGGGCCUAACCUGGGAACCGCAUUUGUGACUGCAUAGCUAGAGUCCGUCAGAGGGGGGUGGAAUUCCACGUGUAGCAGUGAAAUGCGUAGAGAUGUGGAGGAACACCGAUGGCGAAGGCAGCCCCCUGGGAUGAGACUGACGCUCAUGUACGAAAGCGUGGGGAGCAAACAGG
Molecule: ribosomal RNA, 253 nt
Filed under: uncultured bacterium
Lineage: Bacteria
Description: partial 16S ribosomal RNA
Rfam family: Bacterial small subunit ribosomal RNA
Source: RNAcentral